GACGAACGCUGGCGGCGUGCCUAAUACAUGCAAGUUGAGCGAUGAAGAUUGGUGCUUGCACCAAUUUGAAGAGCAGCGAACGGGUGAGUAACGCGUGGGGAAUCUGCCUUUGAGCGGGGGACAACAUUUGGAAACGAAUGCUAAUACCGCAUAAUAACUUUAAACAUAAGUUUUAAGUUUUAAAGAUGCAAUUGCAUCACUCAAAGAUGAUCCCGCGUUGUAUUAGCUAGUUGGUGAGGUAAAGGCUCACCAAGGCGAUGAUACAUAGCCGACCUGGGAGGGUGAUCGGCCACAUUGGGACUGAGACACGGCCCAAACGCCUACGGGAGGCAGCAGUAGGGAAUCUUCGGCAAUGGACGAAAGUCUGACCGAGCAACGCCGCGUGAGUGAAGAAGGUUUUCGGAUCGUAAAACUCUGUUGGUAGAGAAGAACGUUGGUGAGAGUGGAAAGCUCAUCAAGUGACGGUAACUACCCAGAAAGGGACGGCUAACUACGUG
Molecule: ribosomal RNA, 497 nt
Filed under: uncultured bacterium
Lineage: Bacteria
Description: partial 16S ribosomal RNA
Rfam family: Bacterial small subunit ribosomal RNA
Source: RNAcentral